GGGUUGUGAGGUUAAGCGACUAAGCGUACACGGUGGAUGCCCUGGCAGUCAGAGGCGAUGAAGGGCGUGCUAAUCUGCGAUAAGCGCCGGUAAGGUGAUAUGAACCGUUAUAACCGGCGAUACCCGAAUGGGGAAACCCAGUGUGAUUCGUCACACUAUCAUUAACUGAAUCCAUAGGUUAAUGAGGCGAACCGGGGGAACUGAAACAUCUAAGUACCCCGAGGAAAAGAAAUCAACCGAGAUUCCCCCAGUAGCGGCGAGCGAACGGGGAGGAGCCCAGAGCCUGAAUCAGCAUGUGUGUUAGUGGAAGCGUCUGGAAAGGCGCGCGAUACAGGGUGACAGCCCCGUACACAAAAGCGCAUGUGCUGUGAGCUCGAUGAGUAGGGCGGGACACGUGGUAUCCUGUCUGAAUAUGGGGGGACCAUCCUCCAAGGCUAAAUACUCCUGACUGACCGAUAGUGAACCAGUACCGUGAGGGAAAGGCGAAAAGAACCCCGGCGAGGGGAGUGAAAAAGAACCUGAAACCGUGUACGUACAAGCAGUGGGAGCACCCUUCGGGGUGUGACUGCGUACCUUUUGUAUAAUGGGUCAGCGACUUAUAUUCUGUAGCAAGGUUAACCGUAUAGGGGAGCCGGAGGGAAACCGAGUCUUAACCGGGCGUUAAGUUGCAGGGUAUAGACCCGAAACCCGGUGAUCUAGCCAUGGGCAGGUUGAAGGUUGGGUAACACUAACUGGAGGACCGAACCGACUAAUGUUGAAAAAUUAGCGGAUGACCUGUGGCUGGGGGUGAAAGGCCAAUCAAACCGGGAGAUAGCUGGUUCUCCCCGAAAGCUAUUUAGGUAGCGCCUCGUGAAUUCAUCUCCGGGGGUAGAGCACUGUUUCGGCUAGGGGGCCAUCCCGGCUUACCAACCCGAUGCAAACUGCGAAUACCGGAGAAUGUUAUCACGGGAGACACACGGCGGGUGCUAACGUCCGUCGUGAAGAGGGAAACAACCCAGACCGCCAGCUAAGGUCCCAAAGUCAUGGUUAAGUGGGAAACGAUGUGGGAAGGCCCAGACAGCCAGGAUGUUGGCUUAGAAGCAGCCAUCAUUUAAAGAAAGCGUAAUAGCUCACUGGUCGAGUCGGCCUGCGCGGAAGAUGUAACGGGGCUAAACCAUGCACCGAAGCUGCGGCAGCGAACGUAUCACCCAAGACAACUUUACGGAGUUGACGAUUGACGGAGCGAAGCGACGUCAAAGCGUUCAUUAAAGUCGAGUUGGCUUAGGGAUACGUUCGUUGGGUAGGGGAGCGUUCUGUAAGCCUGUGAAGGUGUGUCGUGAGGCAUGCUGGAGGUAUCAGAAGUGCGAAUGCUGACAUAAGUAACGAUAAAGCGGGUGAAAAGCCCGCUCGCCGGAAGACCAAGGGUUCCUGUCCAACGUUAAUCGGGGCAGGGUGAGUCGACCCCUAAGGCGAGGCCGAAAGGCGUAGUCGAUGGGAAACGGGUUAAUAUUCCCGUACUUGGUGUUACUGCGAAGGGGGGACGGAGAAGGCUAUGUUGGCCGGGCGACGGUUGUCCCGGUUUAAGCGUGUAGGUGUGUGUUCCAGGUAAAUCCGGUUCACUUUAACACUGAGGCGUGACGACGAGGCACUACGGUGCUGAAGCAACAAAUGCCCUGCUUCCAGGAAAAGCCUCUAAGCAUCAGGUAACAUCAAAUCGUACCCCAAACCGACACAGGUGGUCAGGUAGAGAAUACCAAGGCGCUUGAGAGAACUCGGGUGAAGGAACUAGGCAAAAUGGUGCCGUAACUUCGGGAGAAGGCACGCUGACACGUAGGUGAAGUGAUUUACUCAUGGAGCUGAAGUCAGUCGAAGAUACCAGCUGGCUGCAACUGUUUAUUAAAAACACAGCACUGUGCAAACACGAAAGUGGACGUAUACGGUGUGACGCCUGCCCGGUGCCGGAA
RNAcentral lists this ribosomal RNA (1943 nucleotides) under Salmonella enterica subsp. enterica serovar Typhimurium. RNAcentral's name for it is "partial 23S ribosomal RNA". It matches the Rfam family "Bacterial large subunit ribosomal RNA", at positions 1 to 1874 of the family's 2925-position model. The record is from RNAcentral. Lineage: Bacteria; Pseudomonadati; Pseudomonadota; Gammaproteobacteria; Enterobacterales; Enterobacteriaceae.